Molecule: long non-coding RNA, 699 nt
Organism: Artibeus jamaicensis (Jamaican fruit-eating bat)
Lineage: Eukaryota; Metazoa; Chordata; Mammalia; Chiroptera; Phyllostomidae
Exons: 2
Source: RefSeq, a predicted model, not a curated record
UGUAAUAGCCAUUAGUAGUAGAAGCAUACAAACAGCCGUUAGGCAUCUGCAGUUCCUGAGACUGGGUAAUAAAUAAAUGUCAGGGAACGGCUGGGUUAAAAUUCCUAGCCAAAUAAGGUAACUGACCAAGGCCCGCCAGAUAAGACCCCAGCACCAAUUAGAGACUUUCGCCGUUUUUUUAACUUAGCAACCUGGCUAAUAGCUAACUGCCACAUCUGCUUCUGUAACCCCGCAUUCGCUUGCUCUGCCCUAUAAAAACCCCCGUAGUCUGUGAGCCAGGCGCGACUCUCAUCUGCAGCCCUUUUGGGCACCGUGUCUCUGGACACCCCGAGAGUUCGCCCCUGCGCAGGUAAAGCUUGGCCACCAAAUUUAUAAUUAGACUAUUAUUUUGUAAUCAAUAAAAUUAGAGAUCUUUGAAACCUAUCUUCAUCUCCGAGAGCGUGCAUUGACUCAUCUGUUGCCUACAACAUUUGGAGGCCCCAGCGAGAUACGCACGUGCCCUCGGAGAACCCAUCUGUAUGCCGGCCCGAAUAUGACCUGACCAGAAUGACAGCGGUCCAGUAAUGCCAGCUUCUGGACACCAAGCCUGCGAUGUCCGGGUGACAGCCAACUGACCAGGACCCUGUGAGGUCUUUCCCCUUACAGGAAAGACUCCCUCCGUGCUGCUCCCCUUCAGGGCACCCCAACCCAAGGGUAAAU